RNAcentral lists this ribosomal RNA (426 nucleotides) under uncultured Actinomycetes bacterium. RNAcentral's name for it is "bacterial SSU rRNA". It matches the Rfam family "Bacterial small subunit ribosomal RNA", at positions 958 to 1385 of the family's 1533-position model. Lineage: Bacteria; Bacillati; Actinomycetota; Actinomycetes. The record is from RNAcentral.
AACGCGAAGAACCUUACCAAGGUUUGACAUGCAGGGAAAAGCCGUAGAGAUACGGUGUCCGUAAGGGUCCUGCACAGGUGGUGCAUGGCUGUCGUCAGCUCGUGUCGUGAGAUGUUGGGUUAAGUCCCGCAACGAGCGCAACCCUCGUUCUAUGUUGCCAGCGGAUAAUGCCGGGGACUCAUAGGAGACUGCCGGGGUCAACUCGGAGGAAGGUGGGGAUGACGUCAAGUCAUCAUGCCCCUUAUGUCUUGGGCUGCAAACAUGCUACAAUGGCCGGUACAGAGGGCUGCGAAACCGCAAGGUUGAGCGAAUCUCAAAAAGCCGGUCUCAGUUCGGAUUGGGGUCUGCAACUCGACCCCAUGAAGUCGGAGUCGCUAGUAAUCGCGAAUCAGCAACGUCGCGGUGAAUACGUUCCCGGGCCUUGUA